This is a non-coding RNA of Podarcis muralis (Common wall lizard), 1623 nucleotides long. Lineage: Eukaryota; Metazoa; Chordata; Lepidosauria; Squamata; Lacertidae. The record is from RefSeq and is a predicted model, not a curated record.
GGUUUAAGAACAGACUUCCAGAAUGGAUUAAAUUCGUAAACCGAGGUACCACUGUAUUCUCUAUUGUUAGGCAACAACCUCCAAAGUAUCUUGCAGCCCUGCUAUUGUUCUUAAUAUUGUACUGUUCUUUAUGUGCUCAACCUAUGAGCACAUAUAAAAGAUAAGUUAUGACUUGACCAUGUGGCAAGGAAGCAUCUUCUGCACAUCAGAGUGGUCAAUUUAUUACAACUGGAGGACACAAUGUAAUGACAAAAUAUGCUCUAAAAGGCAAUCUUGUAGGUAAACUGGUUCCAAGUUGUUAAGGGCUUUAUAACACCUUGAAGUUGGUCCAGUAGCAAAUUGGCAACAGAGCUAGAGGACCCAAUGUGCACUGCAAAAUAAGCCUCCUUCUUCUUUUUUUGCAGCCUCACUGCCACAUUAUAGGCACGACUGUGUGUUCUUAGCAGUGUUCUUUUGGCUUCAGAGUGAGACUUGCUCCACCUGCACUCCAGUCUUCAUCCGGACUGUUUUACAAUCUGGAGCUCCUGAGAGUACCAAGAACUCCUUGGGCUCGAAAAUGCCAGAGAGAAUGCUCAGCAGUGAUUGUGUCUACUGCCCAUUUCCUCUCGCCAUUCCAUAGCGACGAGGUCUUUGACAGGAUCACCUGCUUUCUCCACUGGAAAAUUCCCCAGAGCAUUCAGGAACAUAUCUGGUCCCAUCAGUCUCUGAGAGCGGGCCAUGUAAAUGGGCUCACUACCCUUACAAGUUGAGAGAUCUAUAUCUAUCACUAUUAUUUACAAUGCUGGGAAGACUGAGAGACCUACAGAAAUUACCAACCAGUGAUAGCUUCUCCUAGAAGGAGUUUAUGACAGUGUUCUUCUCACUACAAAACCAAAGAGGAAACUGACGUCCAAACAGCAAACAAGACCAGAAUCAGUCAAAACUAGGCCCGUUAAAAUUAUCAACUUUGAGGCAGCAGUGAAAGUAAACAAAGCAAGGGCAAGCAUUUUAGCAUCUGCUGUGCUUUGUUGUUGUUGUUUUCCAAAAUGAACCAAGCAGAAUGCAUUGGAAAAAACUGGUACCCAUUUCUAAUUGUUUGGGGUUUAUCUGAACACAUGAUGCAAAAGGAUAUAGGUUGACGUCUCAAGGCAAAGUAGUAGUGGUGAGUAAUUAAAUACCAAACUGAUCAGCUAAACUAUUUGGUCCUUUCUUUUUAGUUUUUGCACUUUCUAUUUUGCCUUGGGUUGCUAUUCUGGGAAAUUAGGCUGCAAAAGCACAUUGUAAUGAGUGAGCCUUAAACAGCAUGUGUGCAGUACUGAAGCCAUGGGCUGCAGGCAAUGAACUGCUUCCAAAGGGGACAUUUUAAUUCCAUACACCUUUUGCAAGGGAGACAGAAGCUGUAAAGUAUAACAUUUUAAAAGUUAUUACUAAGCAGAUCCUCAAAGCAGCAUACAGUACUGCUUUAUUAUAGUGAACAAGAUGUGCCUUUGAAGAACAAGAGGUUCCCAAAUAUAAAAAGUAUAAAAAGUUGCCCCAAGAUCAGUCAAAGACCAGAACAUUCUCCAUAGCUUUUGAUGCAACCGAUAUAUAGAAGCAACUAAGACUUUGGGCAGCUUGAUGACACAAACAUAUAUUUCUCUCACA